CAAUGGGCGCAAGCCUGACGGAGCAAUACCGCGUGGGGGAGGAAGGUCUGUGGAUUGUAAACCCCUUUUCUCAGGGAAGAAGCUCUGACGGUACCUGAGGAAUCAGCAUCGGCUAACUCCGUGCCAGCAGCCGCGGUAAUACGGAGGAUGCAAGCGUUAUCCGGAAUUAUUGGGCGUAAAGCGUCCGCAGGCGGCUAGAUAAGUCUGCUUUCAAAGAGUGGGGCUCAACCCCAUAAAGGGAGUGGAAACUGUUUAGCUAGAGUAUGGUAGGGGCAGAGGGAAUUCCCAGUGUAGCGGUGAAAUGCGUAGAUAUUGGGAAGAACACCAGUGGCGAAGGCGCUCUGCUGGACCGAG
This 354-nucleotide ribosomal RNA is filed under the name Lyngbya sp. K5. Its description in RNAcentral is "bacterial SSU rRNA". It matches the Rfam family "Bacterial small subunit ribosomal RNA", at positions 369 to 738 of the family's 1533-position model. The record is from RNAcentral. Lineage: Bacteria; Bacillati; Cyanobacteriota; Cyanophyceae; Oscillatoriales; Microcoleaceae.